RNAcentral lists this transfer RNA (72 nucleotides) under Penaeus vannamei (Pacific white shrimp). RNAcentral's name for it is "Litopenaeus vannamei (Pacific white shrimp) tRNA". It matches the Rfam family "tRNA". From Rfam's summary of the family: Transfer RNA (tRNA) molecules are approximately 80 nucleotides in length. Their secondary structure includes four short double-helical elements and three loops (D, anti-codon, and T loops). Lineage: Eukaryota; Metazoa; Arthropoda; Malacostraca; Decapoda; Penaeidae. The record is from Rfam by way of RNAcentral.
GUUUUCGUGGUGUAGUGGUUUGCACGGUCGCCUCCAACGCGACAGACUCGGGUUCGAUCCCCGACGGAUACU